Non-coding RNA from Chlorocebus sabaeus (green monkey), 12849 nucleotides. Lineage: Eukaryota; Metazoa; Chordata; Mammalia; Primates; Cercopithecidae. The record is from RefSeq and is a predicted model, not a curated record.
ACACACGUUAUUCACACACCAUGGAAUGCUACUCAGCCAUAAAAAGGAAGGAAAUAAUGGCAUUCACAGCAACCUGUAUAGAAUUGGAGACUAUCAUUCGAAGUUAAGUAACUCAAGAAUGGAAAACCAAGCAUCAUAUGUUCUCACUCAUAUGUGGGAGCUAAGCUAUGAGGAUGCAAAGGCCUAAGAAUGAUACAUUGGACUUUGGUGACUCAGGACAAAGGCUGGGAAAUGGCAAGGGAUAAAGGACGACACAUUAGGUACAGUGUACACUGCUCAGGUGAUGGCUGCAUCAAAAUCUCAGAAAUCACCACUGAACAACUUAUUCAUGUAACCAAACACCACCUGUUCCCCAAAACCUGUAGAAAGUAAAAAAAAAAUAAAAAUAACAAGAAAAGAAAUUUCCUGUCCUAACAAUCAAUUAAUUAUUGUAUCAUAUAUUGCCAAUAGGAGCUAAACAAUGAGUAUGGGCCAGAUUGAUCUGUAUUUUCUAAUAGACCUUAUUUUUUAGAGGUGUUUUAUGUUCACACCAAAACUCAAUGAAAGGUAACAAAGAUUUCCUAUACAUCCCCUUUCCCAACAUGUGCAUAGCCUUCCCCAUUAUCAACAUCUUCCAUGAGAGAGGUACUUUGUUACAACUGUUGAACCAGCAUUGACACAUUAUUAUCACUCAUGAUCCAUAGUUUACAUUAGAGUUCACCCUUGCUGUUGUACAUUCUGUGAGUUUGGGAAAAUGUAUCAUGACAUUUAUCCCUAUCUUUAAAAAUAGUAGUACCAACAUGAACUUGAAUUUGGCCCUUGUAUCUUUACAAUACUGGUUUUAUUUUACUCUCAUAGUCAUCUUUUGAUGCUAUAACAGGACCACCUGAUUACUCAUACUAUUUGCAGGUUGUCUCCAAGAUUGCCAAUAUGGGUCACCCAGAAUUAGCACAAUGGGAAAGGCAGGUUGGAUAGGCCAUCUUAAAAACCACGAAGACAAAUCGUCUUACAUUAGAGGAAAAAAGGUAGUGUCUGCCAUGACGUCUACCAUAAAAUCUAUCUGAAAAUUACAAUUGCUUUAAGGUGAAGUAAGUCAGAAGAGUUAAUGUCCAUUUCAUGUUCAUGUAUGUGUGUAUGUUUGAGUCUUUAUGUAGUUAUGUGGUACUACAUAAACUCUCAAAUAUACACACAUACAUGAACCACUAUGUAAUACCACCAUAUUGUCUGUAUAUCCAGGGAUAUAGGCUUGGCUAACUUGUUUUGUGAUCCACUGUUGAUACAUUUGUAAAUCUAAAUGCUAACUCAUGUAUUCUGUUUACCUUUCUGAGGCAGGCAGGCUUCAAUUGACUUAACAGCAUGCUAGCAACUCAGAGACUGUGAAAUCUAAUCACAUUUUGACCCAUUCUUAAAUUGCUUCAUCUGUGAAAAAAUGUUUGAUGAAUGCAGUACUCUUUUGUGAGGGUUUCUAUGAAAAAUCAAUAUUAGAAAUGAUUGUGGGGCACUUUGAAAGUAAAAAUUGUUAUGAAAUGUUAAUUAUAUUCAAAACACCCUUUGACAUCAACUUACAGAGAAAAAAGUGUAAUUUUUCCCAUUAUAGACCUUUUUAAGGAAUUCCAUAUUUGGUUUAUCCCUAGAAUUUUCUAUACUUGUGUGUACCGUACUUCUCCUAACCCAUUAAUGGAAUUAGUAAACAUCAUAUAAUAUUGAAAGAUAUUUCUAUUAGAUGAGCUUUCAAUUAUUCAUGGUAAUGGAAGAACAUUAAUGCAGCUCUUACAAAAUGACAGACUGUCAGAAAGAUCUCAGGAAGAGUGAAGGGCCAGAGAACCUAGAGUCCCUGAUCUGUAUAAAUUUGCUGCAGUGUCUUUAUAAAGUGGAUAACAAUUGUGUUAGAGAUCAUUUGAUCAGGGAGAACCCAGCUCAACUGUGCAAUUAAGAGGAACUGGGAGUUAGGAGGAAGUGAUCCUCAAUAUAUUAAGGCAUUUCAGUUCACUUCUGGAUGUCCCACUUGGUAGAAGAAAGUACAUUUUUCAGUGUGUAAUAGCAGCAGCCACAGCAGCAGAAGUAACAGUAGAAAUAGCAGUAGCAGUGAUAGUAGCAGUAGAAGUGGUAGCAGCAGCAGCAGCAGUUGGGAUAGUGGGAAUAGUAACAAUGGCAGCAGGAGCAUUAGCUAGCAUUUUAUUAACUGUUACUAUGUGGCAGGCACUGUUCUAACCUCUUUACACAUUUCAAUUCAUUUAAUUUUCAUAACGCUCCUUACAACAUGGGCAAUUCCCAUCUUAGGGAAUACUGUCUAUGAGAAUAUUACUCAUCAAAAACGAGCAAAGGGCCAAAGGGAGAAUAGGUAUGCAGUGCUGAAAGUUCAGAGAUGCUGCGUAGUCAUUUGAAGAGAGCUGAACGGGACUUGUUCCAGCUUAAAAGACAACAGAAAUCCUCAGGUGACUAGGCACCUGCUGCCACAGAAAGCUUCUGAUGGUGGAGAGAACGCUGAGAAAACUCUACAGUCCUCUGUGUUUAGGAUCCCAUAACCGAGAAAAGAAGUAUAACCUGAAAUUAAGGAGGAGAAUAUUUUUAUUCUAAAGAUGAAAAGUAUAAGAAAUGAUUUAAUCACAUAUAAAAAAUUUAUAUUGUAAACAGGAACAAAGGGGAAAAAAUCUCAUACUGGUAAGGGCAUUUUUAUGAACUGAAACAGGUUGCUGAAGGAGGAAAUGGAAUCUUUUCCCCUAGAGGCAUUUAAUGCCAGGACUAAUAGCAUCAGGAUAAAAUGAUAUAAGUAAAACCCUGAGAAAGAAGGGAUAAACCUCUAGAGUCAUUUUCAGGACUAUGGUUUUAUAAGGUAAUUCUUAAAUGUUUAAUAUAUUAGAAUGGGAGAAACAGAUCUGUGUCCAAAUAAUUAGGACAUCGGUUUCCUUCAGGAUUCUGUCUCAAUAACCUUGAAGACUGUGGUGAAACAAAAGAACAUCAAGGUCAAAAAGAAUUAGAAACAAAUGUGCUUUAUUCUCAUUGUGCACUGAUAUGAUAGAUAAUACUUGAGUUAUAUAAUUAUAAUUAAUUUGAAAUGCAGUACUUGAAAUUUAAGCAGAUGUAUUCCUCUCACUGUAACACUGUUAGAGGUAAAAUAAAGGAGAAUGAUUUUAUACUCAAAUCUAGUAAAAUUAGCAAUCCAUAUGGACUUCAUUUUAUGCAAAUUAUUAAUCUUGUAUUUUUACUUUUGCAUUUGGGAAGUGGAAGAAUUGUAAUUCAGAAUCGGAAUGUUGAAAGUGUCAUAUUGUUUCUUUUACACAUGAGAUGAUUUACAAUUUUAAGUGUUAUGCUCUUCAGAAGAAAAAUGACUUACAUUGAGCCCCAGAAGUCAACAUGAGCAGAAAGCAAAUGACGUUUUGUUUAGCUUAAGAAAAAGUUUUCCUAGCCACCUAAUUUUGGAAAAUACUUGGAGAACGUGUGAAUAAAAAUAUAAAAUAGAUAAUGUUCAUCCAAUAGGUUUAACAUUUUAUAUUAGAUACAAAAUAAGAACUGAUGGGUAUGUUAAUAGGAGUAUUAAAUAGAAUUUCUCUCAAGGAAAGAUUUUAAAGUAAAUGAUCAUAAAUCUUGUGCUGAUAAAUCACUCAUCAUAUAAUAAACAAAAAAUAAUUAAGUGUUUGUCUAAAUUUAACAUUUUUAGGUGCUUAAGUUUUGCUUGGAUUCUAUUAAUUGGUGUAUGUAGUUAAGAAAUACAUCUUGCCAUUCAAGUAGACCUGGUUCUAAAUAAAAGUUCUACCACCAACUAGCAUAGUGACAUAUGACCUUGUACAGGUUAGUAACAUCUGUAAGUUCUCCAUUUCUUCAUUUGUAAAAUGUGUAUAAUGAUAUUAUUUACCUCAGUGUCCUUGUGAGGAUUAAAUUAAUUUGUGAAUUAAGUGCUUCAUAUAGUGACUGAUGUUUGAUAGGUGUCAGUGGAGAUAACAUUUUGUAAUUAUUAUAUAUGAUUUAAAAUGCAUGUGAUAACACCAUAAAGUUUAGGUUAAAUAGUAUAGGUUAGACAGUUAUAGAGGGAUAUAUUUGUACAGUAUUUCUUUUGAUGUUCUGUAUACAUCUUCUUGUAAAUAAGAAUACAAAAUAGUGUCUCCAUCUUCUCUCUACACAUUUGCACAUCAUUCCAAUCUUACAGACCUAGGUGAUUGUGCUAUAGCCUAUAAUAUGCACAGACUCUAGUCAAACAUACUUGAUUUCUACUUCCUCUUCUAGUGCAUAGUACAUGGAUGUGGGAUAAGUCACCUAGCCCAUUUCUGAACUUCAGUUGUAAUCUGUAAAAUGAGCUCAUUGAUAGCUAACUAAUAGGUUGCUUGGAAGUACAGAUAUAACAAUGUCAAGAAUUUCCAUAGUUGACAUAGAACAGAUUUAAUACUGAAUAAGUAAAGUGUCCACAGCUGCUGUUAUUGCAAUGUGUGUUUGUCCAUUAGAGGCCCCCUUUUGAUUACACUUUCUUUCUAUUAAAUAAUGCAAAAUAAGGUAAUUAUAAAAUAGUAUGUUUAAUAUUUUUGACUAAAGUUUUGCACUCGCUGAAUGGAAGAAUAAAUAAUUAGUUAGGCCUAAAAUGGUCAUGUGCCAUGAUGUUAUUUAUCAAACAUUAUUUAGUUCCAUUUAGCAAAUUUAAUGCCUACUAUAUGGAAAACAUCAUGUUCAAUGCUGGCAAAAGGGGAUGAUAAAUGUUAGUAAAUUAGAUAUAGUUCUGCUACUUAGUGACUUAAAAUCCAGUGAUUGACAUAAACACAGAGGUUAAUUUAUGAUUGUCAGUAAAAGUAUAUGAAGAAAUGAGUAAAUAGUUGAGUGCAGUGGCUCAUACCUGUAUACCCAGCACUUUGGGAGGCUGAGGCUGGCAGAUAUCUUGAACCCAGGAGUUUGACACCAGCCUGGGCAAAACCGAUAGAAUGAUGAAAUUCCAUCCUUAAAAAAAAAAUAAAAAAAUAAAAAUGCAAAACUUAGCCAGGUGCGGUGGUGCGCACCUAUGGUUCUAGGGACUCAGGAGGCUGAGGUGGGAGGAUUGUAUGAGUCCAGAAGAUGGAAAGAUCAUGCCACUGCACUUCAGCCUGGGUAACAGAGCAAGACUCUGCCUCAAAUACAUAAAACAAAAAUAAAGUACUGUGAGAUACAGUAGGAAUACAGAUUUGUCUUAAUGGAGAGAAUUGGGAAGCCUCCUUAUGCAAGUGACCUAGAAAGGAAGAGAAGGCUGCUAUGAAGUGUAAAGGCUUUCUAGAAAACAGCAAGAACAAAGAAAGACUUGGAUUUGACAAAGCUCAGAGUGUGUUCAGAGUACUGAAAUGUAGGGUGCUGGUGUGCUUACAUGUAUGUGCAGUUAUGUUUAUUUGUGAAAAAUGAGCUAAGGGUCAGAAUAUGGGGGAAAUAAAUUUUAAAAGCAUAACUUAUAAUUAUAUUGAAGAAGGACUUGAAUUCUAGGCAAAGGUGUGUGAUCUUAUUUUGUAUAUAUUGGGAAUACCUCAAAGGCUUUUGACCAAGGAAAUGAAAAAACCCAAUUUUUAUUUGAGAAAGAUAAUCCUGAUGCCAUUGUUUAAGAUAUGUCUGCAGAGAGUGAGUUUAAAGCUGGGAGAGCAUUUAGGAAGCUAAUGUGAAGAUAAGGGGAAAAAGCAGAUAUCGUCUGACCUAAAGCCUCAGCUGUGAAAAUAGAGCUGACUCAAGAGAUCUAUUCCAGCAUGGAUAGUUUGGGCUCCUCUGUUAAAUAGUGUUUCAAAUGACUAGUAAGUCUAGCAGCCUGAACAUGCUGCAUAGUCCUUUUUAGAGCACAUGUUGGAAGAGUUGAUAGAUGUCCAUUUUCCCGUGCUUAUUUACUGAAAGACUCCAGGAGAGGUACCUAAAUUUGCUUUCUCUGUAAAACAUGAAUUACUUGAUUUCAUCAUUUUGGUCUCAGAGAGUUUUAAGGAUUAAUUAGUUGAGAAAAAGUUCCUCAAAAAGAACAACUAUGGAACAUACGGUUUCCCUGAUACAAAUAAAUCUUAUAGAUGCCUCCAUGUUGUCUUUGGAAGCGCAGUUAUAAAAGAAAUGCAAAAAUUGUGUAAAGUAAAAGAUAAGCUGAGAUCAACAAAUAAUAAAUCCCCAGCAUUAGCUUUUGCAUAGGAAAUAAACAUUUCUGUCUCACUGACAACAGCUUUCUUUUAAAGGAAAACAACCUGAUAGCCCUAAGGCCACAUUAAUAUCAGCCAAAGAAACAUGUAUUGUUUCUCUUCUGGAAACCAUAAGAAUGAGCAUGUUGUAUCAAAAUGGUCACAUAUAAAUUAGUUUUUUCUGAAUCUAUAACCUUUUAUUUAUUGCUGAUGAAGUGAUAUAUUUUUCCUAAAAUAUUUUUUUUUCUUUCUGUGCCGUCUUUCUUUGCAAGUUACCUCUACAAAUUUAUGUCAAAAUAUGUAUGUUCAUUAUACUUUCGCCAGUGGCUUGCUUUGAUGCAACCAUAAAUGAAUAUCAUUAUGCUGUACAAAGAUAAUUUAUUUUUUAGGCUUUGCCGUCAUGCUGUAUGUAGCUUGUAUAGUUAAAACAGAGAGAAACUGAAAUAUGUGGGGCCCUAAGAAAGUUUAUUGUUUUGUUUUUGGCUUUUUCAAACUGACAUUCUCCAUUGUAUCUCUAUAAUUUAAGACAACCAGGUAUGACAUGCACAAUUUAUUUGCUAAGACAAAGAAGAUAUGCUGGAUAAUGCUCUUUGGGGCAGACUUCCAAGUCUCCUCCUUGUCCCCAAAUUCAGCCCAUUUUUAUUCAUUUCUGUCUGGCUCCUGAUUCUUUGCUGCAUCUGUCAUUCUCAACUUGACCUUGUUCUUUCUCUUAGGGAUGUGUGUAGACUCUCCUUAUCCCUAUUUACAUUGAAUAAUACUCAGUCAUUAGGAUGUCUCUGUAAGACUUUAUACCCUUAAGGGAAGAGUUUAAUGUGCCUUAAGCUGUAUUUUUCCAAAUAUAACAUUUAAUCUCUCCUUAACACUUUGUUUUCCUACACCCUGUAUAGUUGGCAUUGCUACAUUCUAACUAUGUGAUAUUGGUCAAUUUACUAAACUUUGCAGUUCUUAAUUUUUCUACUUAUAAAAUUGUGAUAAUAAGAAUAAUUGCUUCAGAGCAGUGUUGUGAGAAAAUUAUAUAGAAAAUCAUACCAUAAAUAAUACAUAUAAUAUACUUAGCUCAGUGUAUGGAUCACAGUAACAGUUCAGCAAUUUCAUAUUAUUAUUACUGAUAAUAGUAACCAUUAUUAUGUAAUUGCUCCAUAUUGUUCCUCAUCCUGUGUUCCCAGUCUUGAUCAAUGUUACCACCAUUCGACCAAUUUUUAGACCAAUGUCCUGAAUUAUCAUUGACACAUCUUCACUCAUCAUAUUUCUAUGCAUUGCCAUAUUCUUAAGUUCAAGCCACUGUCAUUUCUUUCUUGAGUUACUGAAAUAGCUAACUCAUCUCCCUAUAUUUCCCUUGCAUACUCUGCAAUUCAUACUCAUAAUAGAGCUAGAGAGAAUUUUGGAAAUUUAAGUCUGAUCAUAUUACCUCUUGUUUAAAAUGUUUCAAUAGCCUCUCAUAACUUCUAAUAUGAAGUCUAAAAUCCUUGAUAUGAGCUAUAAUAAAAGCCCUGCAUGACAUGUCCUUUGCCUAAUUCCCCUGUGUCAUUCAUCUCCUCUUUAUCACCUUCGUAUUCAAGCUUUGGCUUUUCUGAACUUUUCUUAUUUUCAAAAAUGUCCCCCAUUCCAUUUCCACCCAAGACCUUUACACACCCCAUUUCCUCCUCCUGGAAGGCUCUUAUUUCCACUGGGUAACCUUACUCUUCAGGUCUAGUGACUUUUUUCCAGAAGCUUUCCUGAUAUCUUCCCAUUUCACCCCACUGCUGACUUAUUAAAUUUUCUAGAAUUUUAUACUUCUACACUACAUUCUCUGUGUUAUAUUCUCUUAUUCAGGGUCUGGUAUUUAAUUUUUAAGUUCCUUGAAAAUAGAGACAAUCCCAUUGUUUUCAUCAGUUUGGUCUAAUUAUAUAUAACAUAGAUGAAAAUAGAUAUUUUAUAUUAUAUAUAUUGUAUAAAUAAUUGUUGAAUUAGAUGAAUAAACUAUAGUGAGAAGAUGCUAGGCUUUGUUAACCAAUCAGACCUAAGCUCAAAUCCCAGCGUGGCCACUUGCUACCUCUGGUACUUUGAACAAGUUCUUUAGCCUUCUUUCUUUGAUUUUGUUUUGUUUCAGUCAGGAAAUUGUAAGAUAAUUAUAGUCUCCUCAUUAUUCUUAUAAUACUAAAAUAAGGAAACAUGGGUAAAGCACUUAACAUAGAGUAUAUUUUCUACAAAUUUUACUUCCUCUUUUUUUUUCUUUAUUUAUAAAGUUGUUCUUCCAAAGUAGUAGUACUAACAUUGUAUAGUGUAAAGCAUUCAUGCCAUUUUAUUGUAUCUUCUCUUAAGACAUAUAGAAGAUAAUUUGGUCCCUCUUGUCAAUAUUCUUGGAGUGAUUGAUGACAAACCAUUUUAGUGUCCCUAGAAGUGGAGGACUUACUGCCCCUUUUUUUCAAGAAUGAAUAUUCUUUUUUUCCCCUAUAAUCUGAGGAGGGGAUGCAGUGAUCUAAACGUAAAAGUACCAGAAAAAAAAAAAAAAAUUGUCCUUUUGCUGAUUGAUUUCAGGGAUGUGAAUUAUUUCAGGGAUAAAAUUGUUUCCCCCAUAAUUUAAAAAUAAUAUAAUAUUAUAGUUUAAAGUAGGUGCUCUUCAUCUACUUCCUGAAACUCUACAGUGAGGCCAAAAGAAUUGAAUUUAAAGAAUAAUUCUGGAAUGUCUAUAAGUUAAACAGACAACUUGAUUUCUGAGUUAUAGUCAGAUUGACGCCACUUCUUUUCAUUGCUGCAUUUGAGAAAAUAGUGUAGAAACGUACAUUCAGACUAUGUAAGACAUAACUAAGAAACGUGAAAACAAAGAGCAGAAGUCAGGGAAACACUAAUGGUUCUAGAGCACUAAUGGGAAAAUGAGGAAGUACAUCAAGAAAGGGCCAAACUGCAUCACAGAGAACAUAAUAACUGCACAACGUUUCAAGGGUCAUUUUGACAGGGAAAGUCCAGGGGCAAAGAAGGAAAAUGAAUAUAAAGAGCAAAAUGUUGUUAAGCCUUGAAAUAGAUAGUAAUAAAAUUUCCCAUAAGGAAUUUUUUAAAAAUAUGGCAGACUGGAAAGUAUUAGUUGUCCCAAAGGAGUCUUAUUUUUCCAAUUGAAGUAGCUGCUGCUUAUCUGAAACUUAACAGUAUGUCAUGGCCAAAAUAAGCAGGUAGUUAUAAGAAAUUAAAUUUUCCUGGAGAAUGAACGAAUAAUAGUGACCUACAAGUAAUUAUAAUAUCACAUGAUUCACAUUCUGAAGAAGGUCAAAUAAUAAACAUAAAAUUCAGUUCCAUCUGCCAGCAUGAAUACUUGUUGAGUGCCUACUGUGUGCCUGGCACAGCUAGCUUCACUGUUCUAUCUAUCUGGAUAUAUAUAUGGAAGACGGGUGGGUCAGUGAAAGAGAUAAAGCCUUUUUAUGUAGACAAACACAAAUACAAAAACUGUUUUGGAAUUUUUGCAGAAUUGCAAAUGUUAUUUCUUAUUUUAAAGUCAGACAAAAUAGCAAAUAUUAAACACUUAAAUUUUUUCUAGAAGUUAGUAUUUCAAUUUUACCAUAGAGAGAUGGUUGCCUUAUCUAACGUCUUGAAAAGAGCCACCUUUGAUUUUUCUCUUCCUCUCUCUCUUACUUUUCUCUCUUUAUCUCUUUCUUCUUCCCCUUUAUUAAAAAAAUGGUCUUCUCAGUAUUUUUAAUAUAGAAUUCUGCAAAUGAAGUAAAGAACAUUACUAAUGUAGGCACUGAACACUUUUCAACGUUUUUCUUUUUAAAGAAAGUGACAGGUUCUACACACUGUUAUCUACUAAAAAUGAACCCAAUUUUGCGUCUGAGAAUGUUGCUGUGAAGAAAUGCUGCAUCUCAACAUCAGCCAAAAUAUGCUAACUACAAAAUGAAGCUGAAUGAAUUGCUUUGCUAGAUGAGGUUAUUUGGAACUAUAUUACUGAAUUUUGGAAAUUAUGUGUCCUAUCAAAGAAUAACUUUUGUCAUAAUGUCUUCCUUAGCUCCCAGGACAUUUAUUUAUGCCACUCCUCGUCCAGUCAGUUCAGACACCAUUUAGAGGAAGUCUCCCAUAUUCCAGGCAUCUACCAGCUUCUAAAGAUCUAGAAACAAAUAAGAACCAAAUUUUCUGUAUGAUUCACAGAGCAGCAGAGAUGACAGACAUAUUCACAUCUAAUUAUAAUGCACAGAGAUUGAGGGUUAUAAUGGAGAUAUUGCUAUGGGAACAUAAAUGAGUGAACAGUAUAUCUUGGUGGAGGUGCAGAAGGUAUAUUUACUGAAGAGAGGAAAGUAAAAAGAGGGAGAUUUGUAAUCUCUGAAGAAGAGUGUUCAAGGACUUAGACACAGUUUGGUUGUAUUUUAAGCAAGGAAAUCAAUUAUGGAUUGGUAAAAAGUUAACUCCGGGGCAAUUUUUUUUAAGCGUUGGUAACCUGUGAGAAAAUGAUCUAUAGUAAACAUUUCUUUUUAUUCCUCAGGCAGUACUUAAAGCACUGUUUUAGGAGUUAGAUGCUUUACUUAUACUAUCUUCUUUAAUAGUAGUAAUAACCCUCUCAGGUAAGAGUUGUUAAUAUCUUUGUAGAGAUAAACAAAUAGGUUCACAGAGAAUGAGCAAGUGGUUCCAUUUAUAUAGUUAAUAAUCACCACCAAUUGUCUGUCUGAUUGAAUUAAAUAUAAGAGAGGAACAUAUAGAAAUGAAGAGACAAAUUACAACAUUGAUAGAAAAGGAGGAUUGCGUUUAUGCUAUGGUUCUUUUUUGGUCCAUAGCAAAUUGAUUCUUUGUGAUGAACAUAACACCGAAAAUACCAAAUUUCAAUGACCACAUAUUCUAUUCAUAAUUUUAUUUAUUAUAAAAUGCCAACAAAGUUGGUAAUUUAAAGAAUUGCUUCUCUCCCUAUUUUUAAAAUAAGAACACAAGUAGAUUACUUUUAAUAAUAUCUAGUCUUUUCCUCAGCCUCUUCUAUUCUGAUAAGGGCUUAAGAAGCAAAUGGUUCUGAUAGAAAAGAACCACCCUGAAAUGUGGAUUAAGACUCGUCACCCAUAGAAAUCCUAGGUUCCACAGUUGUGACCAAUACAUGGCAUUCAAAGUUGAUCUCUCAAGAAGAAGCACUGUAGUUUAGAAAACUUCUGAAAGAAUUUUUUUCAUUGUUGAGUCAAAAUUUUGAUGAGAUUAAAGCAUUUUGUUCCACUUCUAGGGUCUCAAUGUUGAACAAUUUUAGCCUCUUUAAGAUGAAAAUACUUUUUUUUGAGGUGUUUAUUUUUUUUUUACUUCAAUAGCUUUUGGGGUACAAGUGAUUUUGUUUUUUUAAAUGAGUGAGUUACAUAGGUGAAUUCUGAAAUUUUAGUGAACCAGUCAGCCAAGUAGUGUAUAUUGUACCCAAUAUGUAGUUUUUUAUCCCACAACCCACUCCCAAUCUCCUCUAUAGGAGUCUUCAGAGUCCAUUAUAUUACUCUGUAUGCUUUUCAUGCUCAUAGCUUAGCUCCCACUUAUAAGUGAGAAUAUACAGUAUUUGAGUUUCCAUUCCUGAGUGACUUCAUUUAGAAUAAUGGCCUCUGGCUUCUUCCAAGUUGCUAGUAAAAACAUUUUUACGUUCCUUUUUGUGGCUGAGUAGUAUUCCGUGGUGUAUAUAUACCGCAUUUCCUUUAUCCAUUCAUGGGUUGAUAGGCACUUAGGAUGGUUCCGUAUCCUUGUAACUGAAUUGUGCUGCUAUAAACAUACCUGUGCACAUGUCUUUUCAUAUAAUGACUGGAUAAAAGUGCUUUAAAACAACUAAUGAGUCCAGCAUUAUUUCCAGUGGUACUGGUAAUGCAUUCAGGCAGAAAAUUUUUUUUACUCCUGAAUUUUUACCUGAACUAAUGCACUUUUUGUAUGCCAAUUAAUGUUUCUGAUUUUUUGCAUUGCCCCUGAGAUAUUUUAUAGCCUUGGGCAAAAAAUGUACUCUUCCAGCUCACGAAGAUAAAUGGAGAAAAUAGUGCCUUUCCUUAAUUUAUGGGGCUGUCGUAAUCAUUUAAUGUGUGCAACAUGCUAAAUGCUGUCAUUAUGGUACAGUAUUGGAUUUCUUUGUUGUAUUAUAGAGCAGGAUAUUCAAUAAUAAUAAGAUAGAACAGCUUUUUUUAACAACCUGUGUUCAAGCCACUGAUAAUAAUGAAAUUAUGCCAGAUGAGCUUAUUCUCCAACCUCUUCCUGAAGAAUCAGGAGGAUACAAAAUGUUUGAUUGAGGAAAAGCAUUAAUGGACAGAAAGCAAGUGUAGUCAUUACUCUGGGGAAUGACAUAGUUGAACAACUGAACAUGCUCUUCAGAAAUGAUUAGACUCAUAACUAUCAGUUGUACUAGUUCGGCUUUGAAAAUAUAGUAGCCAUCUCAUUUUACAACAUAAUGUAUAGUUAUCUCAUUUUACAACAUAAUGUAUAGUUAUGUCAUAUAAUUUUAGGGAAUCUUCUAAUGUAAGUUCCUACUGUUAGCAGUGAAAGAAACAGCUGGUCACUAGUGCAUUGUUUGAAAGAGCAAGAUGAAAUAGAAAUGUUGUCUAAGAGAUGCAUUCCUAUAAUGUUGAUGGUGAAUCAAAGUGUUUAGAGUAAGAGUUUUAUGGCGAUCAUUUAUUAUAAACAUUGUAUUAUAAUGUCUUUAGUUCACUACUAUAAUAUCCUUGGUUUUUUGAGAAAUCCUCUCCCUCAUGCUAUUCAAUAAAAAUAUCUAAUGCACUUUUUCAGGGCUUAUGAAAACAAUAAAUAUUGUGACAAAUGACUAUUAGCAUGUCUAUGGAGUCUCAUUUGAGUACAGAUUCUUUUAUUGCAGAACACACAGGGCCAA